GAUUAUGACGUGCUGGCGGCCAGGGCCUCGGGUGCUGCCUGGAGUCUCCUGCGUGUCUCUGCUCCUUUGAUGUCAGCAUCGGGGUGUCUGGGAGCCAGCUUCUGAGUGUUGUCAAGGUAGUCCUGGUGGCUUGAGACUGGUGAUGUGCCGUUGCCAACAAUGGCUGUGUAAUUCUGAGCAGUUGUUCAGCACUCAAGUGGGAUGAGAAUGGCAAGGAGUGCUCUGGGUGGCUUUUGACAAGGGACCCCGCCUGUCAUUCACUCAACAGGUGUUUGAGGAGCCAGUCUGUCUCCGUCAUCUGUUCCUGCCUUACUUAGAUGGAAAAUAAUGAAAUCUGUGUAGGAAGGGAGGAAAUUCUCUGAAGAGGACACUUUACCUGCUUUGGCGCUGACCACAAUGCUGAGCAGGAAGCAGCAGCUGCAGGCCCAGUGACUGGUAGCUCAGUGACCAGCAGCCCAGUGACCGGCAGCCAGGUCCUCACCUGGGUCCUCUCAGUGAAGCCAGGGUGGCCGCCCCAGCAGACAGUGCUACAGAGCCAACUCCU
This 544-nucleotide long non-coding RNA is filed under the name Homo sapiens (human). Its description in RNAcentral is "non-protein coding lnc-DDC-3:2". Lineage: Eukaryota; Metazoa; Chordata; Mammalia; Primates; Hominidae. The record is from RNAcentral.